AUACGUAGGUGACAAGCGUUGUCCGGAAUGAUUGGGCGUAAAGGGCGCGUAGGCGGCCCGGUAAGUCUGAAGUGAAAGUCCUGCUUUUAAGGUGGGAAUUGCUUUGGAUACUGUCGGGCUUGAGUGCAGGAGAGGUAAGUGGAAUUCCCAGUGUAGCGGUGAAAUGCGUAGAGAUUGGGAGGAACACCAGUGGCGAAGGCGACUUACUGGACUGUAACUGACGCUGAGGCGCGAAAGUGUGGGGAGCAAACAGGAUUAGAUACCCUGGUAGUCCACACUGUAAACGAUGAAUGCUAGGUGUAGGGGGUAUCGACCCCUUCUGUGCCGCAGUUAACACAAUAAGCAUUCCGCCUGGGGAGUACGGCCGCAAGGUUGAAACUCAAAGGAAUUGACGGGG
This 397-nucleotide ribosomal RNA is filed under the name uncultured bacterium. RNAcentral's name for it is "partial 16S ribosomal RNA". It matches the Rfam family "Bacterial small subunit ribosomal RNA", at positions 523 to 918 of the family's 1533-position model. The record is from RNAcentral.